RNAcentral lists this ribosomal RNA (253 nucleotides) under uncultured bacterium. Its description in RNAcentral is "partial 16S ribosomal RNA". It matches the Rfam family "Bacterial small subunit ribosomal RNA", at positions 524 to 776 of the family's 1533-position model. RNAcentral also lists the same sequence under 1 other name. The record is from RNAcentral.
UACGGGGGGGGCAAGCGUUGUUCGGAAUUACUGGGCGUAAAGGGCGCGUAGGCGGUUCGCUAAGUCGGAUGUGAAAACUCUGGGCUCAACCCAGAGCCUGCAUCCGAAACUGGCGGGCUAGAGUUCUGGAGGGGGUAGCGGAAUUCCUGGUGUAGCGGUGAAAUGCGUAGAUAUCAGGAGGAACACCGGUGGCGAAGGCGGCUACCUGGACAGAAACUGACGCUGAGGCGCGAAAGCUAGGGGAGCAAACAGG